This 468-nucleotide ribosomal RNA is filed under the name uncultured bacterium. RNAcentral's name for it is "partial 16S ribosomal RNA". It matches the Rfam family "Bacterial small subunit ribosomal RNA", at positions 28 to 507 of the family's 1533-position model. The record is from RNAcentral.
GACGAACGCUGGCGGCGUGCUUAACACAUGCAAGUCGAACGGAAAGGCCCUGCUUUUGUGGGGUGCUCGAGUGGCGAACGGGUGAGUAACACGUGAGUAACCUGCCCUUGACUUUGGGAUAACUUCAGGAAACUGGGGCUAAUACCGGAUAGGAGCUCCUGCUGCAUGGUGGGGGUUGGUAAGUUUCGGCGGUUGGGGAUGGAAUCGCGGCUUAUCAGCUUGUUGGUUGGGUAGUGGCUUACCAAGGCUUUGACGGGUAGCCUAGCUGGGAGGGUAACCGGCCACAUCGGGACGGAAAUGCGGCACAGACUCCUACGGGAGGCAGCAGUGGGGAAGAGUACACAAGGGGAGGAAGCCUGAUGCGACAACGCAGCGUGCGGGAUGACGUCAUUCGGUUUGUAUACCACUGUCGCCUGUGACGAAACGUGAGUGACGGUACUGGGUAAAGAAGCACCGGCUAACUACGUG